This 2385-nucleotide ribosomal RNA is filed under the name uncultured Muribaculum sp. Its description in RNAcentral is "partial contains 16S ribosomal RNA, 16S-23S ribosomal RNA intergenic spacer, and 23S ribosomal RNA". The stretch from base 1 to 1513 matches the Rfam family "Bacterial small subunit ribosomal RNA". Lineage: Bacteria; Pseudomonadati; Bacteroidota; Bacteroidia; Bacteroidales; Muribaculaceae. The record is from RNAcentral.
GAUGAACGCUAGCGACAGGCUUAACACAUGCAAGUCGAGGGGCAGCGGGGGUGCAGGCUUGCCUGCACCUGCCGGCGACCGGCGCACGGGUGAGUAACACGUAUGGAACCUGCCCGCCACAGGGGGAUAACCCGGGGAAACCCGGCCUAAUACCCCAUGCCGCCCGGACCGGGCAUCCGGACCGGGCGAAAGGAGGAAUCCGGUGGCGGCUGGGCAUGCGGCGCAUUAGCUUGACGGCGGGGUAACGGCCCACCGUGGCGACGAUGCGUAGGGGUUCUGAGAGGAAGGCCCCCCACACUGGAACUGAGACACGGUCCAGACUCCUACGGGAGGCAGCAGUGAGGAAUAUUGGUCAAUGGGCGGAAGCCUGAACCAGCCAAGUCGCGUGAGGGAAUAAGGCCCUACGGGUCGUAAACCUCUUUUGCCGGGGAGCAAGGGCGGGGACGUGUCCCGGCCCGGAGAGUACCCGGAGAAAAAGCAUCGGCUAACUCCGUGCCAGCAGCCGCGGUAAUACGGAGGAUGCGAGCGUUAUCCGGAUUUAUUGGGUUUAAAGGGUGCGUAGGCGGGCUUUUAAGUCAGCGGUAAAAAUUCGGGGCUCAACCCCGUCCGGCCGUUGAAACUGGGGGCCUUGAGUGGGCGAGAAGAAGGCGGAAUGCGUGGUGUAGCGGUGAAAUGCAUAGAUAUCACGCAGAACCCCGAUUGCGAAGGCAGCCUUCCGGCGCCCUACUGACGCUGAGGCACGAAAGUGCGGGGAUCGAACAGGAUUAGAUACCCUGGUAGUCCGCACAGUAAACGAUGGAUGCCAGCUGUCCGGGCCGAAUGGGGCCUGGGUGGCAAAGCGAAAGCGUUAAGCAUCCCACCUGGGGAGUACGCCGGCAACGGUGAAACUCAAAGGAAUUGACGGGGGCCCGCACAAGCGGAGGAACAUGUGGUUUAAUUCGAUGAUACGCGAGGAACCUUACCCGGGCUCAAACGCGUCAGGGAUCCCCUUCGAAAGGAGGGGAGUCAGCAAUGACCUGGCGCGAGGUGCUGCAUGGUUGUCGUCAGCUCGUGCCGUGAGGUGUCGGCUUAAGUGCCAUAACGAGCGCAACCCCUACCGACAGUUGCUAACUGGUGAAGCAGAGGACUCUGUCGGGACUGCCGGCGCAAGCUGCGAGGAAGGCGGGGAUGACGUCAAAUCAGCACGGCCCUUACGUCCGGGGCGACACACGUGUUACAAUGGCAGGUACAGCGGGAAGCCACCGGGCGACCGGGCGCGGAACCCGAAAACCUGUCUCAGUUCGGAUCGGAGUCUGCAACCCGACUCCGUGAAGCUGGAUUCGCUAGUAAUCGCGCAUCAGCCACGGCGCGGUGAAUACGUUCCCGGGCCUUGUACACACCGCCCGUCAAGCCAUGGGAGCCGGGGGUGCCUGAAGUCCGUGACCGCAAGGGGCGGCCUAGGGUAAAACCGGUGACUGGGGCUAAGUCGUAACAAGGUAGCCGUACCGGAAGGUGCGGCUGGAACACCUCCUUUCUGGAGCGCCCCCGGGCGCCCUCCCCAAUAGAAAGGCGGCGUCAUGAUUCGACGGCGCGGGACGUGUCCGAUAUCUGUCGGAAUGCAGAGGGCUUCAGUCUGUACACUCUUCGCAUCUUAUUGACCGGGGGAUUAGCUCAGCUGGCUAGAGCACCUGCUUUGCAAGCAGGGGGUCAACGGUUCGAAUCCGUUAUUCUCCACCCGAAAAGGAGCACAUUGACAUGAUGGAAGCGACGACCGGUUUUCAAGCCGGUCGCUGAGAAACUCAAGAGCAACUCAAACAGAGCGAUUUCACCGCCGCCACACAAGUGGCGAGCGAGAAGAUAAGCGCGGGCGACCGCGGUAUCGAUAGAAGGUGAAAUCCGGCGAAAUAAAGUACAAGGAAAGGAGAGAAGGGCGCAUGAAGGAUGCCUAGGCUCUCGGAGGCGACGAAGGACGUGACAAGCUGCGAUAAGCCGCGCGUAGGGGCAAAUACCCGUUGAUGCGCGGAUUUCCGAAUGGGGCAACCCGCCGGGCGCGAGCCCGGCACCUGGCCGAGCCAGGGGCGAACCCGGGGAACUGAAACAUCUAAGUACCCGGAGGAAGAGAAAACAAACCAGUGAUUGCGCAAGUAGCGGCGAGCGAACGCGCAGGAGCCCAAACCGGGGGCGUCGCAAGGCGCCGUCCGGGGUUGUAGGACCGACGACAAAGCGUAGCGUGAAGGUUAGCCGAACCGUCUGGAAAGGCGGGCCGUAGCGGGUGAAAGCCCCAUAGGCGAAAACCGGGCAGCGCGCGAGUCGGCACCUGAGUAAGCCGGGACACGAGGAAUCCUGGCCGAAUCCGCGGGGACCAUCCCGUAAGGCUAAACACUACCGAGAGACCGAUAGCGAACC